AUGACUGUCAUCUCAGAGAACCAAAAAGCAGCUGAAAGAUUUGUGAUGACACAAACUCCAGUUUCCCUGCCUGUCAUCCUUGGAGAUCAAGCCUCUGUCUCUUGUAUGUCUAGUCAGAACCUUGUGCAUAGUGAUGGAUUCACCUUUAUAGAAUGGUACCUGCAGAAGCCAGGCCAGUCUCCACAACUCCUCAUCUAUGAGAUUUCCAAACGAUUUUCUGGGGUUCCAAGCGGGUUCAGUGGCAGUGGGUCAGGCACAGAUUUCACACUCAAGAUCAGCAGAGUGGAACCUGAGGAUUUGGGAGUUUAUUACUGCUUCCAAG
Grammomys surdaster is the source of this 322-nucleotide non-coding RNA. The record is from the annotation of a RefSeq genome assembly. Lineage: Eukaryota; Metazoa; Chordata; Mammalia; Rodentia; Muridae.